UACGAAGGGGGCUAGCGUUGUUCGGAAUUACUGGGCGUAAAGCGCACGUAGGCGGAUUUGUUAGUCAGGGGUGAAAUCCCGGGGCCCAACCUCGGAACUGCCUUUGAUACUGCAAGUCUAGAGUCCGGAAGAGGUGAGUGGAAUUCCUAGUGUAGAGGUGAAAUUCGUAGAUAUUAGGAAGAACACCAGUGGCGAAGGCGGCUCACUGGUCCGGUACUGACGCUGAGGUGCGAAAGAGUGGGGAGCAAACAGG
This 253-nucleotide ribosomal RNA is filed under the name uncultured bacterium. Its description in RNAcentral is "partial 16S ribosomal RNA". It matches the Rfam family "Bacterial small subunit ribosomal RNA", at positions 524 to 776 of the family's 1533-position model. The record is from RNAcentral.